RNAcentral lists this small RNA (455 nucleotides) under Pan troglodytes (chimpanzee). RNAcentral describes it as "processed transcript". Lineage: Eukaryota; Metazoa; Chordata; Mammalia; Primates; Hominidae. The record is from RNAcentral.
AGGACAUGUCCAAAUACAAACCUCACAUUCUGCUGUCCCAAGAGAACACACAGAUUAGAGACUUGCAACAGGAAAACAGAGAGCUGUGGAUUUCCUUGGAGGAACACCAGGAUGCUUUGGAACUCAUCAUGAGCAAAUAUCGGAAACAGAUGUUACAGUUAAUGGUUGCUAAAAAAGCGGUGGAUGCUGAACCAGUCCUGAAAGCUCACCAGUCUCACUCUGCACUUGAAAAUAAGGAACUUCGAGAAUUAUUGUCCAUCAGCAGUGAGUCUCUUCAAGCCAGAAAGGAAAACUCAAUGGACACUGCUUCCCAAGCCAUCAAAUAACUGAACUCUGAAUGAUGGCUGGAGAUUGUCUAUCAAGGAAGGAAGUUACUGUCUUCCCAUUCAAGUACUGUCCAUUAAGUGUCUUGCCUCAGAUUUGAUUUAAUCUUAAUUAAAGGUAUCAGGUGGCAA